Molecule: ribosomal RNA, 1464 nt
Filed under: Triticum aestivum (bread wheat)
Lineage: Eukaryota; Viridiplantae; Streptophyta; Magnoliopsida; Poales; Poaceae
Description: partial small subunit ribosomal RNA
Source: RNAcentral
AAUUCUUUUCCCCAACUAGACCGCGGACGGCUGGGGCAUGGGGGUGGGGCACCGGCGUCUGGGAGAUUGGCUGCUGGCGCCGUGGCUUGCCGGCGUGGGGGACUGGGGGCGACCGCUGGCGGGUGGCCGGACCUGGGAUUGGUCGGCUCCUUCCUCCUCCGCUCAGGUUCAUCCACAGAUCCACUUAUGCCUCGGCUAUGGCUGUCCGCUACAGCAUCAGGCUCCGUCAACGUCGCGCAGUGCCUCGGUGAGUCGUGUGAGCAGACUGUCCUCCCUGUAUCUAUCUCAAUCUCUCCCCUAUCGAAAAUUUGGAAAGUUGAAAUAUUGUGACCUCCGUAGCUUUGUAGUGGAGGAAAAAUUCUAAUUAGAUGUGGUCUUUUCAUCUGGUCAUUGUUGGAGAUGCAGCUCCCUGUAUAAUUUUCUGCAUCUCCCAGAUUAUGUAGCUUUGUUACCUUAGUGGAGGAACCUUUGGUGAGAAAGAAAAAUUAGUGGUCAUCUCGUCAUUGAUUUUGUAAAUUAGAUUUUGUCAAUUGGAUUUUGUACUGGAAUAGAAAAUGUCCUUUAAAGAUUAAGAGGGACCGAGGGAGGCAGUGAUGCUUAAGGGAAAACAAUUGAUGCAUUUUUGAAAAGAAAGCGAGGUGAUUCAACUGAAUGUGAAGCUGAUGAACCAACAACAAUGAAAGUAAUUCCUGUUCAGCCUCCUCUGUUGUUGCUUGAAUUUGAGCAACACGGACAACAUCCUUCGAUGCCUCAACAACAAGGCCAUGAAACUCAAACAAAUGAAGUCCAAUUCCGAGGGAUUGAAUUCUUGCAGCGAGACCCAGCACUACGUCCACAGAUUCGCCCCUCCAAAGAUUUCUUUCAAGCUCCGCCACUGCUUGCGUCCUCGGUUAUGCGCAAUUUUGAGCAACUUCACAUGGAACUAUCAUGAAGGUCACACCACCACCAUUUCUUAACUAAAACUUGAUGGACUGAAGAAUAGACCUCUUCUAAGAAGCAUCUAAUUGUAGUGAUUUCCUUUGGGUUUGAGAGUAGGUCGUCUAGGGAGGUUGUGUGAUGUAGUAUGUCCAAUAUUAGAGUAGAUCCACCUAUUAUAAAAUUAAGGAAAAUCUACAUUUGCUUUCUGGAAAAGAAAAACGGGCCUACACUUCCCCGAUACAUGAUUAGGUAUGUUAUACAUUUCGGUGAAACCUGCCAUACAUUCAAUGUGUAAACCCUUGGGGCUACAACGUGUCAUAUUCCGGGUUUUCUCAAAGAUGAGUUAGUGAUGCGAAGUAGGUUUAAGAUGUUUGUACUUAGCUUAUGCCUGCGAGUGGAUGGACACCAUAGAGAUAUUAUUGUUUUCUGAUGUAUUCUAAUGUAAGCUAGCCUUGAGCUAAGCAGGUAUGUAUUGUAUUGGAGACUGGAUCUGCCAUUUAAUACUUCUAACACGUGAUUAUCUUGGUAUUUCAUCAUGUACUAUGC